RNAcentral lists this long non-coding RNA (1313 nucleotides) under Chrysemys picta bellii (western painted turtle). Its description in RNAcentral is "lncRNA (ENSCPBG00000002067.1)". Lineage: Eukaryota; Metazoa; Chordata; Testudines; Emydidae. The record is from RNAcentral.
UCACUUGAGUCAGACGAGGAAGAGGAUGAAACUUCUGGUCCUGAACCAUCAAUGUCACAGGACCCACAUUUUCUCCCAUCCUCCUCCUCCUCUGAACCACACCUCAUAACACAAGGUGAACUGAAUGACCUUGUCAGGGAUUUGGAACUACCCAAGAGUAAGGCAGAGCUGUUGGGCUCCAGACUACAGCAGUGGAGUCUCCUGGCAGGUGAUGUUAGGGUUUCCAUGUUCCGUGACCGUCAAAAGGAUCUUGUCCCAUUCUUCUUCAUGGAAGAUGAUCUUGUAGCCUGCAACAACAUCGAUGGUGUGAUGGCAGCCCUCAACAUCGUUCACGAUCCAGAUGAGUGGAGACUGUUCAUUGAUUCAUGGAAGACGAGUCUUAAAGCUGUUUUACUGCAUAAUGGCAAUGUUUUGCCAUCAAUUCCAGUUGGUCAUGCAGUCCAUAUGAAGGAAAACUAUGACAACAUGAAACAACUUUUGAGGUGCAUAAGCUAUGACCAACAUCAUUGGCAGCUUUGUGGCGAUUUGAAGGUUGUUGCUCUCUUGCUUGGUCUGCAGACUGCAUACACAAAGUACUGCUGUUUUCUCUGCGAAUGGGAUAGUCGUGCAAGAGAUUCCCACUACAUCAAGAAAGAUUGGCCACUCCGACAGUCAUUGGAGCCUGGGAGGAAAAGUGUUCAGCAUCCACCACUUGUUGAAUCAAGGAAGAUUUUGUUACCACCCUUACACAUCAAGCUGGGUCUGAUGAAGAACUUUGUCAAGGUCAUUGACAAAACACAAGCAGCUUUCAAGUACCUCCGUGGAAAAUUUCCAAGGUUAAGUGAAGCUAAGAUAAAGGAAGGUGUCUUUGUUGGUCCUCAGAUUCGUGAAUUUCUUCGAGAUGAUGCAUUUGACCAUGCACUGCGUGGCAAGGAAAAGAUGGCAUGGAAAGCCUUCCAGUUAAUGGCAAUAAAUUUUCUCUGAAACAACAAGGCAGACAACUACAGGUUGUUGGUGGAAAACCUCCUCAAGGCAUACAAAAGCCUUGGUUGCAACAUGUCACUAAAGAUACAUUUUUUGCACUCUCAUCUAGAUUUUUUUCCACCGAACUGCGGAGCAGUGAGCGACGAGCACGGCGAGCGAUUUCACCAGGACAUUGCAACAAUGGAGAAAUGCUAUCAGGGGAAAUGGAGCCCAUCAAUGCUUGCAGACUAUUGCUGGACAGUGACAAGAGAUGCUCCAUUUAAUGAAUACAAGAGACAAGCCAAGAAGCGCCGAGUAGAUGCUGAAUAGGACUAAACUAUGUACAUAAUAGUUUUUUGCCUUUUGUUUCA